CAGCCGAAUUCAGGCAGACACGCAAAACGUGCGCUGCUCAGAAGAAGGAGACUCAUUCAGGUUUCGCCUCGAGGCGGCUCGUGUUUUAUUCAGACCCAGAGCGCGCUGCCAGUCUGCCUGUGAAGGAGGAGCUAUUCUGAACCAGCGCGCGGCCGCUGAAAGCCCUGCCUCGGCACUCGACGCCGAAUAUCGUUCGCUCGAGGGCUUCUGAAUGGGUCCGAUCGCGGCGCCAUAACGCGCGCUUUUAAAGCGCCGCCUUUCACGAGCCCCGGCUAGGCUCUCUCGAACAAAGACGCAAGUGCGCAGGCAGCUGCGGUCCUUGGAAAUGUCGGAGCCGAGUUGCACUGGAGCGCCGUAAAUCAAGGCCAGAGAGCUGAGCCGCUGCAGACGCGAGACCGCCGCGCAUCCGACUGCAGUUGCGAAUGUAACCUUGUCCUGAAGCAGAAAGGACGCCCUGUUGGGGCAAACCUGAGCAAGGCCACAGAAAAAUGGAAAAAGUGUGUGAGCGACUGAUGAGGAGAGGCGUGAUGGAGGGGGAGAGGGCUGGUCACUGUUUGUCAGCGCAGUCGAGCUCAAGUUAAUUGGCUACGGAGCAGAUCAGCAGGAGGCUGUGGGAUUCACAGAUAUGAUGUGAGUUAGGGAGGACGUGUGCACCACCGACUGAGCGGGGGUGUGGCCCAGGUGCCAGUUUACCUUCACACGUGUGUCCGUCA
Electrophorus electricus (electric eel) is the source of this 713-nucleotide long non-coding RNA. RefSeq lists it as uncharacterized. Lineage: Eukaryota; Metazoa; Chordata; Actinopteri; Gymnotiformes; Gymnotidae. The record is from RefSeq and is a predicted model, not a curated record.